Molecule: ribosomal RNA, 497 nt
Filed under: uncultured bacterium
Lineage: Bacteria
Description: partial 16S ribosomal RNA
Rfam family: Bacterial small subunit ribosomal RNA
Source: RNAcentral
GAUGAACGCUGGCGGCGUGCCUAAUACAUGCAAGUCGAGCGAACGGACCAGAAUCUUGCUUCUCUGAUGUUAGCGGCGGACGGGUGAGUAACAUGUGUAUAAUCCACUUAUAAUACGGGUAUAAUUUCGGAAAACGGGAUCUAAUACGGGAGGAUAUUUUGAACCGCGUGGGUCAAAGGAGAAAGACGGUCUUGCUGUCAGUUAUAGAGGGAUCCCCGCUGCAUGAGCUAGUUGGGAAGUUAACGGCCUAUCAAGGCAACUAGGCAUAGCCGAGCUGAGAGGCUGAUAGGCGACCCGGGAACUUAGCCACGGACCAGACUACUACGGGAGGCAGCAGUCGCGAACCUUACGCAACGGUCGAAAGCCUUACGCGGCAACGCGGCGUCAGUGAUGACGGUCUUGCGAUCGUAAAGCUCUGUUACUAGGGAAGAACAUAUGUGUCCGUAAAUGUGCACAUAUUGACGGUAACUAGUCAGGAAGCCCCGGCUAACUACGUG